RNAcentral lists this non-coding RNA (957 nucleotides) under Platysternon megacephalum (big-headed turtle). RNAcentral describes it as "12S ribosomal RNA". It matches the Rfam family "Bacterial small subunit ribosomal RNA". Lineage: Eukaryota; Metazoa; Chordata; Testudines; Platysternidae. The record is from RNAcentral.
CAAAGAUUUGGUCCUAACCUUACUGUUACUUUUUGCUAAAAUUACACAUGCAAGUAUCAGCAUACCAGUGAAAACACCCUAGCAAUCCUAUCAGACAAAGGAGCCGGUAUCAGGCACACCAUGACAGCCCAAGACACCUAGCUUUGCCACACCCCCAAGGGCAUUCAGCAGUGAUAAAAAUUAAGCAAUAAGCGCAAGCUCGACUUAAUUAUAGCAAACACAGAGCUGGUCAAUCUCGUGCCAGCCGCCGCGGUUAUACAAGAAGCCCAAACUAACAGACAACCGGCGUAAAAUGUGACUAAAAAUUUAUCUACAAAAUUAAGGCGAACCUACAACUUAACUGUUAUACGCAAGUACACAUUAAUACAUUAUGAAAAUAACCUUAACACAAUAGAACUAUUUGAACCCACUAUCGCUAAGGCACAAACUGGGAUUAGAUACCCCACUAUGCUCAGCCCUAAACUUAGAUAUUUACUUACAAUAAUAUCCGCCAGAGAACUACGAGCCCAAACGCUUAAAACUCUAAGGACUUGGCGGUACCUCAACCUCCUAGAGGAGCCUGUUCUAUAAUCGAUAAUCCACGAUCUACCUCACCAUCCCUUGUCAAUUCAGCCUAUAUACCACCGUCAUCAGCUUACCCUGUGAAGGGUACCAAGUAAGCAAAAUAAUCUAAAUAACUAGCAAGUCAGGUCAAGGUGUAGCCAACUGAGAUGGAAGAAAUGGGCUACAUUUUCUUUAUUAGAAAUCACUUAACAGAAAGGACCAUGAAAUAAGUCCCAUAAGUAGGAUUUAGCAGUAAACUGGGAACAGAGAGCCCAAUUUAAGUCGGUCCUGAGGUGCGCACACACCGCCCGUCACCCUCCUCAAAUAAUCCUUAAGCAUAAAUAAACCGCAACAAACAAAUAGAUGAGGCAAGUCGUAACAAGGUAAGUGUACCGGAAGGUGUACUUGGAACAU